RNAcentral lists this ribosomal RNA (3294 nucleotides) under Euglena stellata. RNAcentral's name for it is "partial large subunit ribosomal RNA". It matches the Rfam family "Eukaryotic large subunit ribosomal RNA", at positions 55 to 2422 of the family's 3401-position model. Lineage: Eukaryota; Euglenozoa; Euglenophyceae; Euglenales; Euglenaceae. The record is from RNAcentral.
AGAAYCASAAGCAACUGCGAAAGCUCUAGUAAUGGCGAUUGAACCAGAUUGAUGACUCGGCCUGAACGAGAUUCCCUAAGCACUCUGCCCCCUCCAGGGCUGUGGUGUGACAGGCUCUCAUGGAAUCCGACCUGUGGGCUAUGGACUGGCUGGCUUUGAUUGGGUGGACCAACUGGCACCAGGGAGAGCCCUGGAAUGGGCCACCACCGAGGGAUACUGUCCCAUACGUCCUGCAGAGAGUGCCUUGGUCUCGCCUGAUUGGCUGGUUAGAUCCCCGAGUAGAGCUGCUUGGUACUGCAGUUUGAACUGUGAUGUGUAUCCAUCAUAAGGAAGCCACCUAUGGACCUGGGACCGAUAGUGUACAAGUAGAGUGAUCGAAGGAUGCAAAGAACUCCGCGAAGAGGGUUAAAAGUCCCUGAAGCUGCAGCAGAUUCUGUGGUGAGUGGCGCUGUGGGAGAUCCAGGCGAUCCCAGGCACACCCUGGGCCGGCUACAGAGCCCCCGCCUCCUGGCGGGGAUGCCUAUCGUAGCGGUCCAUUCCAAGGGUGUCACCUCCGUGUGCUGUGGCCUGGAGAUCGCCAGCCAAUCAAUCAGUAGUCGUGUGGCAGAGAGUCGACUCAGCCUGUGUGUGGCACGGGGAUACCCCCGCGGUGUGGCACGGCCGGCCCCCAUUGGGGCAGGCCACCCCACCCGUGGAGGGUCCCUGGGUCACCCGGGCCCCUCAAACCUGGCGGCGUCCUCGGGCGCUGCCAGUCGCCACGGCCUCCCAGUGGUCUGGGGUCUGGUGCCUGCCUGGUGACUGCACCAUUGUGAUGGUGGUCACCCCGCUGGGCUGCCGACCCCCCGCUGGGGACCUGGUGUGGAUGUGUGCAGAUGAGCCUGGCCAUUCAGGACAGUGCCACUCACUGCCCGUCUCGAAACACGGACCAAGGAGUCUAUGGAGCUUGCAAGGGUUGGAUGGCCUGCCACUAAGCCCCUCUGGGGCACAGUGAAGGCAAUACUUCCCAUCCCAGAUGGUGAGGGCGCGUCCCCUUGCAUGGGAUCACCGGAUCUGAGUCCAGUGGACAGGGUUWUGAGWGCUUGCAAGGUCCAUGGGACCCGAAAGGUGGUGAACUAUCCCGUUCCACAGCGAAGCCAUGGGAAACUGUGGUGGAAGCUGGUCGCUGUUCUGACGUGCAAAUCGUGUAGCCUGAGAGCGGCAUAGGGGUGAAAGGCCAAUCGAGCCACCUAGUAGCUGGUUCCCUUCGAAGUUUCCCUCAGGAUAGCUGGGCUCAACUGUGCGAGAGAGAGAUGGUUAUGUCCGGUAAAGCAACGCAUGAGAGGCGACCCUGGGAGGUGCUCCUCCUGGACCUAUCCUCGAACUGUGAACGGGCAUGGCAGACAUCAGACACGCUGCUUCUCCCGCUGGAGCCCUGGUGGUGGCUCGUACCUGCCGCCAGGUUCUCCUGGCAUGUGAGCGUGGCUUCGUCAAUCGCCCCUGAUGGGCCUGGGAUCAGUGUCCGGCGGUGCCAGUGUCUCCCACAUGGAGCCUGCACGGCCGUGGCACCCCCGGGGCCGUUGGACGGUGAGAUGUGAUCUAACUCGAUGAACACAGGUGCCUAUGUGGGCCAAUACUGGUAAGCAGUGCUGGCGAUGCGGGGUGCUCCGAGAGUGGACCUACAGUUCCAGAGUGCUGGCUCAUACUCAGAUCCCACAAAGGAUGUUGCUGGCUAUGGAUAGCAGGACGGUGGCCAUGAAGGUUGGAACCCGCUGAGGAAUGUGUAACAACUCACCUGCCGAAGCUAGCAGCUCCGAAAAUGGAUGGAGCCAAAGUCAGUGGAAGAUCACUCACAGUCCACCGUUGGUGUGCUGGUAGACGUCCCUACCAGAUGCAUGAGCAGAGCAUCAUCGUGUAGAAAUGGGCUUGGGAGAGUGCGACGCCGGCUGGGUCCGCCCCUGGCUGGAGCCUCUCCCAGCGCAGAUCUUGGUUGCAGUAGCGAGUACUCAAUUGGGUGAAGAGCAGUCAAACACCCUGCCAUGUGCGGUUGAGGGCUGGAGUGGAGCAGGUUUCCGCACCAACAGCCGUUGAAUGCGGGUCAACCGAUCGUGAGCCAAGUGGCAAAUCACAGAACAACCAAAGCUGCUACGUGGGUCCCAGGACCCAGGCGUGUGGUGAGCGCCGGUGCUGUGUGGUCGGCCUGCCCCCAUCGGGGCGGCCCCGAACGGCCAGGACUCCCACCCCUGGGAAAUGGGGCCAGACAGGAAGAGCAGGAGUGGCAAACAGGCAAGCGCGUGCAAGAUUCCGCUGUGAUGGGGUUGGAUCGCCCUGUGGUGGCGACACCACCCAUCCAGAUUCCCUGACCAGGCCCAGGGGCAGUGGCACCCCUGAGGAGUUCUCGUUUCCUCCUGAUGCAAGACUCAUGUGGACUAUCGAUCGGCAUGCCACAUGGUGGCAUAGGUCCUCCGCUCAGCAAGGCAGUGCGGUCUCCGCGCUGAUGGUAUGUCCGGCAUGUGAAGCUUCGCAGCACCCCGCUGUGCCCGGAGCCGCUGUGGCCUCCCAGUCACGUGGCACCGGGUCGGUGUGGGGAAGGGAGUAAGAUGCAGAGUGGGAUCCACUGGCUCCAAUGAACAGCCUGAGCAGUGCAUGGUGACCCAAAGUCCCUGUGUGGUCGUACUGAAUCACCGCAGCCGGUCUCCUCGACGAGCAGUCGCUAGUCAACAGACGAAAUGCAGCUAAGGGAAGUCGGCAAACUAGCUGUGCACCUUUGGAAGAUGCAGUGGCUCCAGAGGCCAAGCCACUCAGGUCCCGUUGGGGCUGUGCGGUGGCAGGGGAUGCUGACCCUUCGGAGGCGGUCUCGCACCGCAGCCGUUGGGAGGGCGCCUCUGUCCUGCACUGGUCCUGGCAGGUUCAAGCUGUGUGCGAGAGUGUUUGGGGUGACUCCCAACGGGGGUCAGGCUGGCUUCGGCUGGCCUGGCCACCCUGGUGGCUGCAAGUGGCUCAUGUGGAACUGUUGCCGUGCAGGGGAAUCUGACUGUUUAAUUGAAACCCAGCUUCGCGAUGGGACCAGCUGGCUGGUGCCGUGAGGUGACUUCUGCCCAGUGCUCUGAUUGUCAAUGCGAAGAGAUUCAGUCAAGCGCGGGUAAACGGCGGGAGUAACUAUGACUCUCUUAAGGUAGCCAAAUGCCUCGUCAACCAAUUAUUGACGCGCAUGAAUGGAUCAACGAGAUUCCUGCUGUCCCUAGUCGCGGUCUGGUGAACCAACAGCCAAGGGAACGGGCUUGGAUGUGCCAGCGGGGAAAGAAGAGCCUGUUGAGA